GGCUGUGAUUACAGACCGUGAACCCUGAAUACUGGGGUGCCACGCACGGACAGAUGGGAGCCACACUCUGUGGUCAAGCUGUGAUCUUUCCACCAUGGGAAACCACGUGACAACCCUACUUGAAACGUGUCACCCUGGGGACAGAGGAAAAGCGAAUGGUAAACAUCUUUAUUUUCUGAGAUGGGCCCAAGGACCUGGCCCCACAGUUAGGAAUCUGCAGUCACCCAUCCCACUGCAAAAGACGCUUCCUCGCCCAGAACAGCCAGCUCCGCAGCCGUCAUGCGGUUUCCGGCGGCCGCACAGAAUUGGGACCUGGGCAUGGCCCCUGGUGACGGCACGGACCACGGAGGGCUUUCAGGAGGCUUCGUGCAGAAAACGAACCGUCCUUCACCUCGGAUGUCUUCUUGUUGCUCAGAGUCAGGCCGACCG
Peromyscus eremicus (cactus mouse) is the source of this 429-nucleotide long non-coding RNA. RefSeq lists it as uncharacterized. Lineage: Eukaryota; Metazoa; Chordata; Mammalia; Rodentia; Cricetidae. The record is from RefSeq and is a predicted model, not a curated record. The transcript has 3 exons.